UGAGCAACCUGCCCUUGGCUUCGGGAUAACUCCGGGAAACCGGGGCUAAUACCGGAUGUGACGCGCCCGCGCAUGGGGGUGUGUGGAAAGAUUUAUCGGCCAGGGAUGGGCUCGCGGCCUAUCAGCUUGUUGGUGGGGUGAUGGCCUACCAAGGCGACGACGGGUAGCCGGCCUGAGAGGGCGACCGGCCACACUGGGACUGAGACACGGCCCAGACUCCUACGGGAGGCA
RNAcentral lists this ribosomal RNA (231 nucleotides) under uncultured bacterium. Its description in RNAcentral is "partial 16S ribosomal RNA". It matches the Rfam family "Bacterial small subunit ribosomal RNA", at positions 118 to 350 of the family's 1533-position model. The record is from RNAcentral.